GGAGAAUAAAUGAUCACACUGGGAAGGAAGAGCAACACUCAUUAUAUUCCAGAAAGUCAUUAUUAUUGUGACAGAGGCAAAUUUCAGGAUGAACAGUGCACCAAAGACCUUGCUCAGGAACAUAGUGACUGUGGUAUUGGUUCACCUCAGGCCUUGCUCAGGCAGAUAGUGACCACAGUACUGGCUCAGCCUGGUUGCUGGAGGAACUGAUGGACAGACAUCUUGUUCAACAGCUGAGGGAAAAUUGAGUAUGUGCCAGAAAACAUGACUAUGGGUCGACCAUCUUACCCUGAGUGAUGUGUGUAAUGCCAUCAGCCACAACGUCAUAGUCUUUCACAGGACAAAAGAAGACUAAAAAUGGAAAGAAAGAGAAGGGACAAGCCAGCCUAUCUAGAAAAUAUAGCCGCCAAGGAAAGCUGUGCCAGGGAAGAGGAACACACUGUUACCAAAGUCCAGUUCACAAUGGGUUCAUUCCUUCUGCCAUUUACACAAAGCCACAGCUGAUCAGACUGAAACAUUCCUCUUGCUGGCUCCUAUUCUUCCUUCAUUUUAUUAAUAACCUGGCAACAGGAUAGGGGCUAAGAAAAGAGACCUUCUAGAAUGGAGAAUUUACUGAAGAAACCAGAAGUGAAAGGUAGGUAUGGGAGUUUGAAGUCACAUUUAUUAGGUGACAUAGUUCCUUUAGAGAACGAGAAAAGGACUUUAGGCAUGAGCACAACCCAUCAGGAAAAUCCAUGGUGACCUGGGCAAAUUCAUGCAGCACGGAUGUUGUAGAACAGUUUUAUGGAAGUGUGACAUCUUAAAGUCAAAAUAUAUUUUUCUCUGAUUAUUUUUUGUAUUGAUGUGGGUUCUGUUUUGUUUUGCUUUUGUUUGUUUGACAUUGUUGCUGAUUUUUAAGUACCUGUCCUACAUGAUGAGAUCUUGCAGCUCAAUUAAAAAGGAAAUAAUUAUUUAAAGCAUUCUGUGGAAUGUGGAACAGGCCCUGGAA
This 988-nucleotide long non-coding RNA is filed under the name Gallus gallus (chicken). Its description in RNAcentral is "long non-coding RNA NONGGAT003197". The record is from RNAcentral. Lineage: Eukaryota; Metazoa; Chordata; Aves; Galliformes; Phasianidae.